UCAUCUCCACGCUUUAUCUUUGACUUUGCUUUCUUUCCCCUACAUCUCAGCUGCACCAUUUCUCCAUUCCACCCACCAAAAGCAACAGAUCUAGCGCUCGCAAUUCAUUCGGGUGAAAGAAUUGCAUCAAUUGGAAGAGUCGUUUUCAGCUCCCAAUCACGCCUCGUGUAUUAAAAAUGUGAAAGUAAUUGGAGGAAUCUAUUCUCUUGUCCACUUAGGGAUAUGGAUGUGGAUGUCAGACACUCGACACCCAAGUCCAUUGUAUAAUUUUAAUAUAAUUUAUACAAUCAUCAGUUAAUCGAUUAUCCAGUCGCUUUAAGAACACGUCCAAUCAUAAGCAGCGUCUAGCUCCAGGGGUUGCUCCACUUUUUUCUUAUAUUUGAAAGAGUUGAACAAGGUGAAAAAGGAAGUCUUUCUUUGUAUUUCAGUUUUCUUGUGCUCUGUGUUCUUUGGCGUGGGAAGGGACUUUGGGUUCUGGUUGAUUCCCAAUGAUGGUGGAGCUGUUUGUGUUGGGGUGUACGGGAGUUGUGGUCUUCCUUCACGGAGCCAAUUUCUUCUUCCAUAUCCUCUCCCAACACUUCGCCGUUCGUUCUCUCAGUUUCUUGGGAUUCGUUGGGUGGUGAACGGAACAGAAAAACAGAGAUGAUUAGUUUUCUUCACGCAAGCUGUGUAAUGUGGAUCAUGGCAAUUAAUGGGAGCUCUGCACAUGCCGUGACGCUUUGUAAAUACUUACUUAUAAGGUAGAAGUAGAUUUUAAGCAUAAAGUAAUGAUAAUUUUAUAUUCCUAAAGCAAAGAUGCAAGGCUUUACCCAAAUUUAGAGCGGAAAUCAUCUUGUGUUACUCUCUCUACCAAAAUUCGGCAUCAAUGGUAUCCUUCAAGUUUCAUUGCUGAGCUUAUAUUGUUCAAUAUAAUUGAGAUUUCUAUGUUCUUCUA
Theobroma umbraticum is the source of this 934-nucleotide long non-coding RNA. RefSeq lists it as uncharacterized. The record is from RefSeq and is a predicted model, not a curated record. NCBI's taxonomy places the organism in Eukaryota, Viridiplantae, Streptophyta, Magnoliopsida, Malvales, Malvaceae.